UCGAGGGAGACCCGCAAGGGGGACACCGGCGAACGGGGUAGGACAGCGUCGGUAACGUACCCUCAGGACGGGGAUAGUGCCGGGAAACUGGCGGUAAUACCCGAUAACAUUUCCCUUUAUUAACAGGGGAAAUCAAAGGUGAGAUUCCACCUGGGGAGCGGCUGACGCGAUAUUAGCUAGUUGGUAGGGUAACGGCCUACCAAGGCGAUGAUGUCUAGGGGGUGUGAGAGCAUGGCCCCCACCACUGGCACUGAUACACUGGCCAGACACCUACGGGUGGCUGCAGUCGAGAAUCUCCGGCAAUGGGCGAAAGCCCGACCGAGCGACGCCGCGUGCGGGAUGAAGGUCUUCAGAUUGUAAACCGCUGUCGGGGGGGAUGAAAUGUACUGGGGUUAUCCCCGGUAUUUGACAGAGCCCCAGAGGAAGCACGGGCUAAGUUCGUGCCAACAGCCGCGGUAAUACGAACUGUGCGAACGUUAUUCGGAAUCACUGGGCUUAAAGGGUGCGUAGGCGGCAUUCCCAGUCAGGUGUGAAAGCCUCCAGCUCAACUGGAGAACUGCGCUUGAUACUACAAUGCUUGAUUGAGGUAGGGGUGUGUGGAACCUCUGGUGGAGCGGUGAAAUGUGUAGAUAUCAGAGGGAACGCCUGUGGCGAAAGCGACACACUGGGCCUUGUCUGACACUGAGGCACGAAAGCUAGGGUAGUGAACGGGAUUAGAUACCCCGGUAAUCCUAGCCGUAAACUAUGAACACUCGAGGGGAGGGGCUUCGGUCUUUCCCCUCUUAGCGAAAGCGUUAAGUGUUCCGCCUGGGGAGUAUGGCCGCAAGGCUGAAACUCAAAGGAAUUGACGGGGGCUCACACAAGCGGUGGAGCAUGUGGCUUAAUUCGAGGCAACGCGAAGAACCUUAUCCUGGACUUGACAUGCAGGGAUCAACUCGGUGAAAGCCGAGCCACACCUUCGGGCGGAACCUGCACAGGUG
This 980-nucleotide ribosomal RNA is filed under the name uncultured bacterium. Its description in RNAcentral is "bacterial SSU rRNA". It matches the Rfam family "Bacterial small subunit ribosomal RNA", at positions 62 to 1040 of the family's 1533-position model. The record is from RNAcentral.